This 1343-nucleotide ribosomal RNA is filed under the name uncultured bacterium. RNAcentral's name for it is "16S ribosomal RNA". It matches the Rfam family "Bacterial small subunit ribosomal RNA", at positions 28 to 1378 of the family's 1533-position model. The record is from RNAcentral.
GACGAACGCUGGCGGCGUGCUUAACACAUGCAAGUCGAACGGAAAGGCCCUGCUUUUGUGGGGUGCUCGAGUGGCGAACGGGUGAGUAACACGUGAGUAACCUGCCCUUGACUUUGGGAUAACUUCAGGAAACUGGGGCUAAUACCGGAUAGGAGCUCCUGCUGCAUGGUGGGGGUUGGAAAGUUUCGGCGGUUGGGGAUGGACUCGCGGCUUAUCAGCUUGUUGGUGGGGUAGUGGCUUACCAAGGCUUUGACGGGUAGCCGGCCUGAGAGGGUGACCGGCCACAUUGGGACUGAGAUACGGCCCAGACUCCUACGGGAGGCAGCAGUGGGGAAUAUUGCACAAUGGGCGGAAGCCUGAUGCAGCAACGCCGCGUGCGGGAUGACAGCCUUCGGGUUGUAAACCGCUUUCGCCUGUGACGAAGCGUGAGUGACGGUAAUGGGUAAAGAAGCACCGGCUAACUACGUGCCAGCAGCCGCGGUGAUACGUAGGGUGCGAGCGUUGUCCGGAUUUAUUGGGCGUAAAGGGCUCGUAGGUGGUUGAUCGCGUCGGAAGUGUAAUCUUGGGGCUUAACCCUGAGCGUGCUUUCGAUACGGGUUGACUUGAGGAAGGUAGGGGAGAAUGGAAUUCCUGGUGGAGCGGUGGAAUGCGCAGAUAUCAGGAGGAACACCAGUGGCGAAGGCGGUUCUCUGGGCCUUUCCUGACGCUGAGGAGCGAAAGCGUGGGGAGCGAACAGGCUUAGAUACCCUGGUAGUCCACGCUGUAAACGGUGGGUACUAGGUGUGGGGUCCAUUCCACGGGUUCCGUGCCGUAGCUAACGCUUUAAGUACCCCGCCUGGGGAGUACGGCCGCAAGGCUAAAACUCAAAGGAAUUGACGGGGCCCCGCACAAGCGGCGGAGCAUGCGGAUUAAUUCGAUGCAACGCGUAGAACCUUACCUGGGUUUGACAUGGAUCGGGAGUGCUCAGAGAUGGGUGUGCCUCUUUUGGGGUCGGUUCACAGGUGGUGCAUGGCUGUCGUCAGCUCGUGUCGUGAGAUGUUGGGUUAAGUCCCGCAACGAGCGCAACCCUUGUUCACUGUUGCCAGCACGUUAUGGUGGGGACUCAGUGGAGACCGCCGGGGUCAACUCGGAGGAAGGUGGGGAUGACGUCAAGUCAUCAUGCCCCUUAUGUCCAGGGCUUCACGCAUGCUACAAUGGCUGGUACAGAGAGUGGCGAGCCUGUGAGGGUGAGCGAAUCUCGGAAAGCCGGUCUCAGUUCGGAUUGGGGUCUGCAACUCGACCUCAUGAAGUCGGAGUCGCUAGUAAUCGCAGAUCAGCAACGCUGCGGUGAAUACGUUCCCGGG